AAGUGUGUGACUUAAUACUUUGGG
RNAcentral lists this non-coding RNA (24 nucleotides) under Cricetulus griseus (Chinese hamster). The record is from RNAcentral. Lineage: Eukaryota; Metazoa; Chordata; Mammalia; Rodentia; Cricetidae.